AACGAACGCUGGCGGCAUGCCUAACACAUGCAAGUCGAACGAGACCUUCGGGUCUAGUGGCGCACGGGUGCGUAACGCGUGGGAACCUGCCUUUAGGUUCGGAAUAACUCAGAGAAAUUUGAGCUAAUACCGGAUAAUGUCUUCGGACCAAAGAUUUAUCGCCUUUAGAUGGGCCCGCGUUGGAUUAGCUAGUUGGUGGGGUAAAGGCCUACCAAGGCGACGAUCCAUAGCUGGUCUGAGAGGAUGAUCAGCCACACUGGGACUGAGACACGGCCCAGACUCCUACGGGAGGCAGCAGUGGGGAAUAUUGGACAAAUGGGCGGAAAGCCUGAUCCAGCAAUGCCGCGUGAGUGAUGAAGGCCUUAGGGUUGUAAAGCUCUUUUACCCGAGAUGAUAAUGACAGUAUCGGGAGAAUAAGCUCCGGCUAACUCCGUGCCAGCAGCCGCGGUAAUGUAGACGUCU
RNAcentral lists this ribosomal RNA (462 nucleotides) under uncultured bacterium. Its description in RNAcentral is "bacterial SSU rRNA". It matches the Rfam family "Bacterial small subunit ribosomal RNA", at positions 29 to 534 of the family's 1533-position model. The record is from RNAcentral.